RNAcentral lists this ribosomal RNA (467 nucleotides) under uncultured bacterium. Its description in RNAcentral is "partial 16S ribosomal RNA". It matches the Rfam family "Bacterial small subunit ribosomal RNA", at positions 28 to 507 of the family's 1533-position model. The record is from RNAcentral.
GAUGAACGCUGGCGGCGUGCUUAACACAUGCAAGUCGAACGGAAAGGCCCAAGCUUGCUUGGGUACUCGAGUGGCGAACGGGUGAGUAACACGUGGGUGAUCUGCCCUGCACUUCGGGAUAAGCCUGGGAAACUGGGUCUAAUACCGGAUAGGACCACUUCUUGGAUGUUGUGGUGGAAAGUUUUUUCGGUGUGGGAUGAGCUCGCGGCCUAUCAGCUUGUUGGUGGGGUAAUGGCCUACCAAGGCGUCGACGGGUAGCCGGCCUGGGAGGGUGUACGGCCACAUUGGGACUGAGAUACGGCCCAGACUCCUACGGGAGGCAGCAGUGGAGAAUAUUGCACAAUGGGCGCAAGCCUGAUGCAGCGACGCCGCGGGGGGGAUGACGGCCUUCGGGUUGUAAACUCCUUUCGCUAGGGACGAAGCGUUUUGUGACGGUACCUGGAGAAGAAGCACCGGCUAACUACGUG